CAGUCGCCGCGGUAAUACGAAGGGGGCUAGCGUUGUUCGGAUUUACUGGGCGUAAAGCGCACGUAGGCGGACUUUUAAGUCAGGGGUGAAAUCCCGGGGCUCAACCCCGGAACUGCCUUUGAUACUGGAAGUCUUGAGUAUGGUAGAGGUGAGUGGAAUUCCGAGUGUAGAGGUGAAAUUCGUAGAUAUUCGGAGGAACACCAGUGGCGAAGGCGACCACCUGGGCUCAUACUGACACUGAGGCACGAAAGCGUGGGGAGCAAACAGGAUUAGAUACCCCAGUAGUCCCUGUCUCUUAUAC
Molecule: ribosomal RNA, 301 nt
Filed under: uncultured bacterium
Lineage: Bacteria
Description: partial 16S ribosomal RNA
Rfam family: Bacterial small subunit ribosomal RNA
Source: RNAcentral